This 253-nucleotide ribosomal RNA is filed under the name uncultured bacterium. Its description in RNAcentral is "partial 16S ribosomal RNA". It matches the Rfam family "Bacterial small subunit ribosomal RNA", at positions 524 to 776 of the family's 1533-position model. The record is from RNAcentral.
UACGUAGGGUGCAAGCGUUAAUCGGAAUUACUGGGCGUAAAGCGUGCGCAGGCGGUUUUGUAAGUCUGUCGUGAAAGCCCCGGGCUCAACCUGGGAAUUGCGAUGGAGACUGCAAGGCUUGAAUCUGGCAGAGGGGGGUAGAAUUCCACGUGUAGCAGUGAAAUGCGUAGAGAUGUGGAGGAACACCGAUGGCGAAGGCAGCCCCCUGGGUCAAGAUUGACGCUCAUGCACGAAAGCGUGGGGAGAAAACAGG